RNAcentral lists this ribosomal RNA (275 nucleotides) under uncultured Sphaerotilus sp. RNAcentral describes it as "partial 16S ribosomal RNA". It matches the Rfam family "Bacterial small subunit ribosomal RNA", at positions 338 to 605 of the family's 1533-position model. The record is from RNAcentral. Lineage: Bacteria; Pseudomonadati; Pseudomonadota; Betaproteobacteria; Burkholderiales; Sphaerotilaceae.
CCUACGGGGGGCUGCAGUGGGGAAUUUUGGACAAUGGGCGCAAGCCUGAUCCAGCCAUACCGCGUGCGGGAAGAAGGCCUUCGGGUUGUAAACCGCUUUUGUCAGGGAAGAAAUCUUCUGGGCUAAUACCUCGGGAGGAUGACGGUACCUGAAGAAUAAGCACCGGCUAACUACGUGCCAGCAGCCGCGGUAAUACGUAGGGUGCAAGCGUUAAUCGGAAUUACUGGGCGUAAAGCGUGCGCAGGCGGUUCCAUAAGACAGAUGUGAAAUCCCCG